This 468-nucleotide ribosomal RNA is filed under the name uncultured bacterium. RNAcentral describes it as "partial 16S ribosomal RNA". It matches the Rfam family "Bacterial small subunit ribosomal RNA", at positions 28 to 507 of the family's 1533-position model. The record is from RNAcentral.
GACGAACGCUGGCGGCGUGCCUAACACAUGCAAGUCGAACGGAAAGGCCCUGCUUUUGUGGGGUGCUCGAUUGGCGAACGGGUGAGUAACACGCGAGUAACCUGCCCUUGACUUUCGGAUAACUUCAGGAAACUGGGGCUAAUACCGGAUAGGAGCUCCUGCUGCAUGGUGGGGGUUGGUAAGUUUCGGCCGUUGGGGAUGGACUCGCGGCUUAUCCGCUUGUUUGUGAGGUAGUGGCUUACAAAGUUUUUGACGGGUAGCCGGCCUGAGCGGGUGACCGGCCACAUUGGGACUGCGAGACGGCCCAGUCUGCUACGUGAGGCAGCAGUGGGGAGUAUUGCACAAUGGGCGGAAGCCUGAUGCAGCAACGCCGCGUGCGUGAAGACGGCCUUCGAGUUGUAAACCGCUGUCGCCGGUGACGAAGCGUGAUUGACGGUAAUGGGUAAGAAAGCACCGGCUAACUACGUG